Molecule: non-coding RNA, 204 nt
Organism: Oryza glumipatula
Lineage: Eukaryota; Viridiplantae; Streptophyta; Magnoliopsida; Poales; Poaceae
Source: Rfam
AAUAGAUGACGCCGUUGACUUUUUCUCGCAUGUUUGACCAUUCGUUUUAUUCAAAAAAUUUCCAUAAUUAUAAUUUAUUUUGUUAUGAGUUGUCUUAUCACUCAUAGUACUUUAAGUGUGAUUCAUAUCUUAUACAUUUGCAUAAAAUUUUUGAAUAAGACGAGUGGUCAAACAUGUGAGAAAAAGUCAAUGGUGCCAUCUAUU